This 505-nucleotide ribosomal RNA is filed under the name uncultured bacterium. RNAcentral describes it as "bacterial SSU rRNA". It matches the Rfam family "Bacterial small subunit ribosomal RNA", at positions 15 to 507 of the family's 1533-position model. The record is from RNAcentral.
GAUCCUGGCUCAGGAUGAACGCUAGCUACAGGCUUAACACAUGCAAGUCGAGGGGAAACGACAGAGGAAGCUUGCUUCCGAUAGGCGUCGACCGGCGCACGGGUGAGUAACGCGUAUCCAACCUGCCCAUCACUUGGGGAUAACCUUGCGAAAGUAAGACUAACACCCAAUGACGUCUCUAGAAGACAUCUGAAAGAGAUUAAAGAUUUAUCGGUGAUGGAUGGGGAUGCGUCUGAUUAGCUUGUUGGCGGGGUAACGGCCCACCAAGGCAACGAUCAGUAGGGGUUCUGAGAGGAAGGUCCCCCACAUUGGAACUGAGACACGGUCCAAACUCCUACGGGAGGCAGCAGUGAGGAAUAUUGGUCAAUGGACGGAAGUCUGAACCAGCCAAGUAGCGUGCAGGAUGACGGCCCUAUGGGUUGUAAACUGCUUUUAUGUGGGAAUAAAGUGAGGGACGUGAGGCUUUUUGCAUGUACCUUAUGAAUAAGGACCGGCUAAUUCCGUG